This 274-nucleotide ribosomal RNA is filed under the name uncultured bacterium. Its description in RNAcentral is "partial 16S ribosomal RNA". It matches the Rfam family "Archaeal small subunit ribosomal RNA", at positions 473 to 747 of the family's 1478-position model. The record is from RNAcentral.
AAACCAGCACCUCAAGUGGUCAGGAUGAUUAUUGGGCCUAAAGCAUCCGUAGCCUGUUCUGUAAGUUUUCGGUUAAAUCCACUAGCUCAACUAGUGGGCUGCCGAAAAUACUGUAGAACUAGGGAGUGGGAGAGGUAGACGGUAUUCGGUAGGAAGGGGUAAAAUCCUUUGAUCUAUCGAGGACCACCUGUGGCGAAGGCGGUCUACCAGAACACGUUCGACGGUGAGGGAUGAAAGCUGGGGGAGCAAACCGGAUUAGAAACCCCGGUAGUCC